Non-coding RNA from Drosophila melanogaster (fruit fly), 583 nucleotides. Lineage: Eukaryota; Metazoa; Arthropoda; Insecta; Diptera; Drosophilidae. The record is from Ensembl.
GGGAUUGACUUGCAAAUGUCGAUUUUUGCUUAAUGAUAAACGAAGAAUUUCCGCAAACCACGGCAAUCCUCUUUCAAUUACCAUAUGCCCGAAUAAUAAUGUUUUGGAUUUCCUGUAUGGCCAAACUGCCUUGUGAAAGUUCGGCAUCCGGGCUUAAGUAGUCGAACCAUUCCAUUAUAUUUUUCAGCUCUUAGUUCAUAUAAUUUUAGUUCCGGAAUCAAAUUGAUGUGGCGCUGAUCUGAAAUUGAGAAUGUCAAAAGGUGAUCAGCAGUUUCAAAAAGGACGUACUAAUGCUGAAAUAACCAGCAUUACAUUAACUACUAUAUGGAUUAGUAAACUGCGAGCAGUGACACUUCUUAAAAUUUCAGAUCAAAAUUAUCAACACUACAACGAAGAUGAACAACAGUGACCACAUUCUCAAGAGAAGUUCAUAAUUUGAGAAAACAAAACAAUAGAGAAUACAAUAUUCGACUUCCCCGACUAUUGGAUACCCGUUACUCAGCUAGUGGAAAUGUGAUCGCGAAAUUUUAUAAUUUUUCUAUGGAAUCGAUAGAUAUUGGUAAAUAAAAUAAGAAAAAAUGUA